CGUUGAUGUUUAUCUUCCAGCAUGUCGUGUCUCUCUUUAAUAGCGUAGGACUGGUGUAGAUUGUAUCACCUUUCUAAAAGUCACAGGCAGUAAAACGCAUUUCUGUGUGGAAACUGAAGAGUUGACCCAUCUUGUACGGGGGAACCAGAAAGAUGGACUAUCUUUACCAUAUUCCAGGACUACUUCUCCUUGUUAUUCUGGCAGAAGCUCAAGUACUGCUUCCAAGAGAAAAAAGUAAAGGCAAGUAUGCAAACACAUGGAAACUCUUAUUCAGAUAUUAAUGAUGGUUGAACGCUUUC
This 299-nucleotide long non-coding RNA is filed under the name Scleropages formosus (Asian bonytongue). RNAcentral's name for it is "lncRNA (ENSSFOG00015026845.1)". Lineage: Eukaryota; Metazoa; Chordata; Actinopteri; Osteoglossiformes; Osteoglossidae. The record is from RNAcentral.